RNAcentral lists this ribosomal RNA (460 nucleotides) under uncultured bacterium. RNAcentral's name for it is "partial 16S ribosomal RNA". It matches the Rfam family "Bacterial small subunit ribosomal RNA", at positions 338 to 795 of the family's 1533-position model. The record is from RNAcentral.
CCUACGGGUGGCAGCAGUGAGGAAUAUUGGUCAAUGGCCGUAAGGCUGAACCAGCCAAGUCGCGUGAAGGAAGAAGGAUCUAUGGUUUGUAAACUUCUUUUAUAGGGGAAUAAAGGUAUCCACGUGUGGAUAUUUGCAUUUACCCUAUGCAUAAGAAUCGGCUAACUCCGUGCCAGCAGCCGCGGUACUACGGAGGAUGCGAGCGUUACCCGGAUUUAUUGGGGUUAAAGGGAGCGCAGGUGGUUUGUUAAGUCAGCGGUGAAAGCUCCUGGCUCAACCAGAAAAUUGCCUUUGAAACUGGAAGACUUGAGUGUGUUAGAGGUAGGCGGAAUGCGUGGUGUAGCGGUGAAAUGCAUAGAUAUCACGCAGAACUCCGAUGGCGAAGGCAGCUUACUAAGCCAUAACUGACACUGAGGUGCGAAAGCGUGGGGAUCAAACAGGAUUAGAUACCCUUGUAGUC